AUUGCCCUAGUAACGGCGAGUGAAGCGGCAACAGCUCAAAUUUGAAAUCUGGCUUCGGCCCGAGUUGUAAUUUGUAGAGGAAGCUUUUGGUGAGGCACCUUCUGAGUCCCCUGGAACGGGGCGCCAUAGAGGGUGAGAGCCCCGUAUAGUCGGAUGCCGAUCCAAUGUAAAGCUCCUUCGACGAGUCGAGUAGUUUGGGAAUGCUGCUCAAAAUGGGAGGUAAAUUUCUUCUAAAGCUAAAUACCGGCCAGAGACCGAUAGCGCACAAGUAGAGUGAUCGAAAGAUGAAAAGCACUUUGAAAAGAGGGUUAAAUAGCACGUGAAAUUGUUGAAAGGGAAGCGUUUGUGACCAGACUUGCGCCGUUCCGAUCAUCCGGUGUUCUCACCGGUGCACUCGGGACGGCACAGGCCAGCAUCGGUUUUGGCGGGGGGACAAAGGCCCUGGGAACGUAGCUCCUCCGGGAGUGUUAUAGCCCAGGGCGUAAUGCCCUCGCCGGGACCGAGGUUCGCGCAUCUGCAAGGAUGCUGGCGUAAUGGUCACCAACGACCCGUCUUGAAACACGGACCAAGGAGUCAAGGUUUUGCGCGAGUGUUUGGGUGUAAAACCCGCACGCGUAAUGAAAGUGAACGUAGGUGAGAGCUUCGGCGCAUCAUCGACCGAUCCUGAUGUAUUCGGAUGGAUUUGAGUAAGAGCGUUAAGCCUUGGACCCGAAAGAUGGUGAACUAUGCUUGGAUAGGGUGAAGCCAGAGGAAACUCUGGUGGAGGCUCGCAGCGGUUCUGACGUGCAAAUCGAUCGUCAAAUCUGAGCAUGGGGGCGAAAGACUA
This 826-nucleotide ribosomal RNA is filed under the name Neurospora santi-florii. Its description in RNAcentral is "eukaryotic LSU rRNA". It matches the Rfam family "Eukaryotic large subunit ribosomal RNA", at positions 74 to 933 of the family's 3401-position model. Lineage: Eukaryota; Fungi; Ascomycota; Sordariomycetes; Sordariales; Sordariaceae. RNAcentral also lists the same sequence under 3 other names. The record is from RNAcentral.